GACGUAGGGGACGAGCGUUGUCCGGAUUCACUGGGCGUAAAGCGCACGUAGGCGGCUUUUUAAGUCAGAGGUGAAAUCCUGGAGCUCAACUCCAGAACUGCCUUUGAUACUGGAGAGCUUGAGUCCGGGAGAGGUGAGUGGAACUGCGAGUGUAGAGGUGAAAUUCGUAGAUAUUCGCAAGAACACCAGUGGCGAAGGCGGCUCACUGGCCCGGUACUGACGCUGAGGUGCGAAAGCGUGGGGAGCAAACAGG
This 253-nucleotide ribosomal RNA is filed under the name uncultured bacterium. Its description in RNAcentral is "partial 16S ribosomal RNA". It matches the Rfam family "Bacterial small subunit ribosomal RNA", at positions 524 to 776 of the family's 1533-position model. The record is from RNAcentral.